UGCAAGUUGAGCGAUGAAGAUUGGUGCUUGCACCAAUUUGAAGAGCAGCGAACGGGUGAGUAACGCGUGGGGAAUCUGCCUUUGAGCGGGGGACAACAUUUGGAAACGAAUGCUAAUACCGCAUAACAACUUUAAACAUAAGUUUUAAGUUUGAAAGAUGCAAUUGCAUCACUCAAAGAUGAUCCCGCGUUGUAUUAGCUAGUUGGUGAGGAAAGGCUCACCAAGGCGAUGAUACAUAGCCGACCUGAGAGGGUGAUCGGCCACAUUGGGACUGAGACACGGCCCAAACUCCUACGGGAGGCAGCAGUAGGGAAUCUUCGGCAAUGGACGAAAGUCUGACCGAGCAACGCCGCGUGAGUGAAGAAGGUUUUCGGAUCGAAAACUCUGUUGGUAGAAAGAACGUUGGUGAGAGUGGAAAGCUCAUCAAGUGAC
RNAcentral lists this ribosomal RNA (432 nucleotides) under Lactococcus lactis. Its description in RNAcentral is "bacterial SSU rRNA". It matches the Rfam family "Bacterial small subunit ribosomal RNA", at positions 56 to 473 of the family's 1533-position model. Lineage: Bacteria; Bacillati; Bacillota; Bacilli; Lactobacillales; Streptococcaceae. The record is from RNAcentral.